Molecule: long non-coding RNA, 420 nt
Filed under: Lonchura striata (white-rumped munia)
Lineage: Eukaryota; Metazoa; Chordata; Aves; Passeriformes; Estrildidae
Description: domestica (Bengalese finch) lncRNA (ENSLSDG00000005611.1)
Source: RNAcentral
CCGGGGCAGCCGCCGCGGGAGCCGCGCCGGGCGGGUGCUGGGCGGCCGCGCUGGUCCUGCCGGCGCUCCUCCGCUGCCUGCGGCGUCCAGAGAAAAUGUUUUGCUGGGGGAUAAAUCUCGUUUUAGCCUUCGCGGCACUGGUGUUGGUUUCCUGUGGAACAGCCUCAGUCCGAUCGAGGUCUGGUGGAGGUGGCAGCUGCCCUAUUCCUCCUGCUCCCCUCAGUGCUUUUGGCCUGAUUUUUCUCUGUAAGAAAAGCAAAAUGAAUUUUCAUGAGAGAAGAUGAGACUUUUGUGGCACUACAUCUUUUCUUUAUGAUGAUGCUCCUCUGUGGACCCCGGGAAAACCAUGUGUCUGGACAUUGAACAAUGCUCUAAUAGGAAAUACACCGAAUAGUGCUUUGUGCAAGGAAAUGGCUACAA